UCCCUUUUCAGACGCGGGCGUUGUGCCUAUAUUCCUCCUCGCCGGUGAAAGCCGGCUAUGGUGAUAAACAGACGAUGCAAUAAACCAUUCGGACCCGGGGGCGGUACCCGGCGCCUCCACCGGAGUCUCUCUCCUCGUUCCUGGCGACGAGGAUGCCGAGAGCCUGCGGCGGGGGCGAAAUAGGAUCGACGAGGGUGUAAAGAUCGGACUUUUGCCCGGCAUUGUACCGCCGUUAUCGGGCUAUUUUUAUAGUUGCCAACGACAACUAUGCGGAAGUCCGUCUCGCUGCUUAAGGCAGCGCGAUAGCUUCGAAUCAAGCCCUGGGGGUUCGCACUUCUAGGCGGGGUCCGGAGGCACCUGGCAACAGAAGCCUCCACU
This 378-nucleotide transfer-messenger RNA is filed under the name Aureimonas sp. Leaf454. RNAcentral describes it as "Alphaproteobacteria transfer-messenger RNA". It matches the Rfam family "Alphaproteobacteria transfer-messenger RNA". Rfam says of the family: Bacterial tmRNA, also known as 10Sa RNA or SsrA, is named for its dual tRNA and mRNA-like properties. Its role is to liberate the mRNA from a stalled ribosome. Lineage: Bacteria; Pseudomonadati; Pseudomonadota; Alphaproteobacteria; Hyphomicrobiales; Aurantimonadaceae. The record is from Rfam by way of RNAcentral.